This is a small nucleolar RNA of Heterocephalus glaber (naked mole-rat), 67 nucleotides long. Ensembl annotates it as small nucleolar RNA, C/D box 54. Lineage: Eukaryota; Metazoa; Chordata; Mammalia; Rodentia; Bathyergidae. The record is from Ensembl.
UGGCGAUGAGGAGACACCGACUGUGUUGAACUAUAGUGAUAGCUUUAUACGCUAUUCUGAGCCAGCA